AUUGUUGCGACAGAAUUUCUGCGUAGUACGCGAGCGAUCGUAGGUACGGACCAAUGGCACUAUACCUGGUCGAGCGAAAAGUGUUAUGACGCUACGUCCUUUCGAUCAUGCCUGAACGCCUUUAAAGACAUAUCCGAACUGGACUGCAAUAAU
Molecule: non-coding RNA, 153 nt
Filed under: Glossina pallidipes
Lineage: Eukaryota; Metazoa; Arthropoda; Insecta; Diptera; Glossinidae
Description: eukaryotic large subunit ribosomal RNA
Rfam family: Eukaryotic large subunit ribosomal RNA
Source: RNAcentral